RNAcentral lists this ribosomal RNA (250 nucleotides) under uncultured prokaryote. RNAcentral's name for it is "partial 16S ribosomal RNA". It matches the Rfam family "Bacterial small subunit ribosomal RNA", at positions 524 to 773 of the family's 1533-position model. The record is from RNAcentral.
UACGUAGGGUCCAAGCGUUAUCCGGAUUUACUGGGUGUAAAGGGCGGGUAGACGGCAUGCCAAGUCAGCUGUGAAAACUUAGGGCUCAACCCUAAGACUGCAGUUGAAACUGGCGAGCUAGAGUGCAGAAGAGGUAAGUGGAAUUCCUAGUGUAGCGGUGAAAUGCGUAGAUAUUAGGAGGAACACCAGUGGCGAAGGCGACUUACUGGGCUGUAACUGACGUUGAGGCGCGAAAGUGUGGGGAGCAAAC